Molecule: ribosomal RNA, 116 nt
Filed under: Bacillus pumilus
Lineage: Bacteria; Bacillati; Bacillota; Bacilli; Caryophanales; Bacillaceae
Source: RNAcentral
GUUUGUGGCGAUAGCGAAGAGGUCACACCCGUUCCCAUACCGAACACGGAAGUUAAGCUCUUCAGCGCCGAUGGUAGUUGGGGGUCUCCCCCUGUGAGAGUAGGACGCCGCCAAGC